GCCAGGUAUGGUGGGGCACACCUGUAAUCUCAGCAACCUGAGAGGCUGAGGCAGGAGAAUUGCAAGUUCGAAGGCAGCCUGGGCAACUUAGCAAGACUCUGUCUCAA
This 107-nucleotide small RNA is filed under the name Marmota monax (woodchuck). Lineage: Eukaryota; Metazoa; Chordata; Mammalia; Rodentia; Sciuridae. The record is from RNAcentral.